CAGACCCUGUUUCACAGAUUAUAAUUUCAAGGCAGAAAAAGAAAGCCUGUGAUGGCUAAUUUUAACGACAACAGAAAAAUUCAAGUAUCAGAUGCCAAUAUACUACAUCUUCAAACCUUGAAGGACAGUCCAAUCUCAUACUUGGUACCCCUUAUGCAAGUGACAACUCAACCGAGAACAGAGAACUCUGAUACAUGUGGCGAAAUAGUUUUUCCAAAACCAGUUAUGUACAUUUAGAUUAAAAUCAGAUAGAAAAGAUGA
This is a long non-coding RNA of Patella vulgata (common limpet), 261 nucleotides long. RefSeq lists it as uncharacterized. The transcript has 3 exons. The record is from RefSeq and is a predicted model, not a curated record. NCBI's taxonomy places the organism in Eukaryota, Metazoa, Mollusca, Gastropoda, Patellidae.